Molecule: ribosomal RNA, 459 nt
Filed under: Escherichia coli
Lineage: Bacteria; Pseudomonadati; Pseudomonadota; Gammaproteobacteria; Enterobacterales; Enterobacteriaceae
Description: partial 23S ribosomal RNA
Rfam family: Bacterial large subunit ribosomal RNA
Source: RNAcentral
GGCUAAUCCUGGUCGGACAUCAGGAGGUUAGUGCAAUGGCAUAAGCCAGCUUGACUGCGAGCGUGACGGCGCGAGCAGGUGCGAAAGCAGGUCAUAGUGAUCCGGUGGUUCUGAAUGGAAGGGCCAUCGCUCAACGGAUAAAAGGUACUCCGGGGAUAACAGGCUGAUACCGCCCAAGAGUUCAUAUCGACGGCGGUGUUUGGCACCUCGAUGUCGGCUCAUCACAUCCUGGGGCUGAAGUAGGUCCCAAGGGUAUGGCUGUUCGCCAUUUAAAGUGGUACGCGAGCUGGGUUUAGAACGUCGUGAGACAGUUCGGUCCCUAUCUGCCGUGGGCGCUGGAGAACUGAGGGGGGCUGCUCCUAGUACGAGAGGACCGGAGUGGACGCAUCACUGGUGUUCGGGUUGUCAUGCCAAUGGCACUGCCCGGUAGCUAAAUGCGGAAGAGAUAAGUGCUGAAAG